RNAcentral lists this ribosomal RNA (465 nucleotides) under uncultured bacterium. RNAcentral's name for it is "partial 16S ribosomal RNA". It matches the Rfam family "Bacterial small subunit ribosomal RNA", at positions 28 to 507 of the family's 1533-position model. The record is from RNAcentral.
GACGAACGCUGGCGGCGUGCUUAACACAUGCAAGUCGGACGGAAAGGCCCCUUUGGGGGUACUCGAGUGGCGAACGGGUGAGUAACACGUGAGUAACCUUCCCUUGACUUCGGGAUAACUUCAGGAAACUGGGGCUAAUACCGGAUAGGAAUCCUUGCUGCAUGGUGGGGGUUGGAAAGCUUCGGCGGUUUUGGAUGGACUCGCGGCUUAUCAGCUUGUUGGUGGGGUAGUGGCUUACCAAGGCUUUGACGGGUAGCCGGCCUGAGAGGGCGACCGGCCACAUUGGGACUGAGAUACGGCCCAGACUCCUACGGGAGGCAGCAGUGGGGAAUAUUGCACAAGGGGCGGAAGCCUGAUGCAGCAACGCCGCGUGCGGGAUGACGGCCUUCGGGUUGUAAACCGCUUUCAGCAGGGGCGAAGCUUGUGGUGACGGUACCUGCAGAAGAAGCACCGGCUAACUACGUG